Molecule: ribosomal RNA, 253 nt
Filed under: uncultured prokaryote
Description: partial 16S ribosomal RNA
Rfam family: Bacterial small subunit ribosomal RNA
Source: RNAcentral
ACAGAGGUCUCGAGCGUUGUUCGGAUUCAUUGGGCGUAAAGGGUGCGUAGGUGGCGCUGUAAGUCGGGUGUGAAAUCCUGAGGCUUAACCUCGGAACUGCAUUCGAUACUGCGGCGCUUGAGGACUGGAGAGGAGACUGGAAUUCAUGGUGUAGCAGUGAAAUGCGUAGAGAUCAUGAGGAAGACCAGUGGCGAAGGCGGGUCUCUGGACAGUUCCUGACACUGAGGCACGAAGGCCAGGGGAGCAAACGGGA